AUUGUUUUAAGUUAAAUAAACUGAGAGCCUUCAAAGCUUUUAAUAUAGGUUGUGAUCCUAUAAACUUUA
Molecule: transfer RNA, 69 nt
Filed under: Anurida maritima
Lineage: Eukaryota; Metazoa; Arthropoda; Collembola; Poduromorpha; Neanuridae
Description: tRNA-Trp
Rfam family: tRNA
About the family: Transfer RNA (tRNA) molecules are approximately 80 nucleotides in length.
Source: RNAcentral